CUCUACAGCUGUUGUAUUAAGACCACGCCAUGCCAUAUUAACUAACCCUGCACCCCCUGCACCCAUAUAUAACUAACUCCAAAUACAGAGAGUUGAAGUGUCAGUGUCACACUGGACACAUUGGAGGUGUUGUUUCUAUUUCAGAAUUACCUGAGACUCAGAGCUAACAAUGAAAUGAUGACAAAAGUAGACCUGGGGCUUUCCAAAAGAGCCUUUCUGGGCUGUGUAAUUUACUCAGGAUACGAUGCACUAUAGUGGCACGGUCACAAAUUGUAUAAGUGUAAAUGUUAUUUCUCUCUUGUAUUACAUGGGGCUAACAAUGAAAUGAGGCCAAAAUGAGAGCAUAUAAGGACCCCACUCAGGUCUCCAGCCACUGUUAGCCCCCCUGGCUAUUGCUAAGUGGGACAAUGUUUCCAAAGAAACUAUUUUGCCUAAACUUUGCAAUUUAGUGUUAAAAUCACAGAUAUUCAGUGCUUUUAGAAUAGACCAUUCACUUUCAGACUUUUCCCCCUCAAUCCUUUCCUCCUCUAUAACCUCACUACAUUUACAUGGUUGGCAAUACUAAUUCACAUUACAAUAAAGAGUUGACACAAUAAUGGCAUACAAUUUCUUUAAUUUGUAGGGCACAGAUAGUGGUCCAAUUUCCGGACAAUUCAUUUCAAACUACCUAUAUAUGCAAGCUAUACACAACAUUAACUUAAAUCUUUUAAGUACUUAAUUUAGAAAAUCAGUCUACCCCAGCGUUACCUCAGCGCUGUGUGGGACUGCUUGUAGGAGCGUUUAUGUGCAAGAGCCAUGCUGUCUUAACCCCCACCCUCCCUUUUUGUUCAUUGUUUGUUGUGGUGUUUGUAAUUUAAGGAAGAGGAAUGUCAUCCUCAUGGCUAAAGUUUAGAGGAUGGAUAUAAAUGGUAUUUUUUACAUAUAAUGAAGGGAGAAGCGCUUGAUGGAAUUAUCAGAUAUGACAAAGGAUGAAAUAAGACAAAGGAACAACAGUAGAACAACUAUAUAGUGUAGUAAGUUGAAUACUGGUUGUAAAUAAAGAAAGAGAUGCACUUACAGUGUGUAGAGCUAUCAGUAAGCUCUUCUUUUAUGCGCCAGGGCGGUAUAAUCCCCGCCUGAGGAUGUGAGGUGUAUCUCUUGUGGGGUGGUCUGGAGACAAUGAAAUAAUUACAAAAUGGAUGCUAAUAUAGUGUAGUUUCCUUAGUUUCAAGGAUGGGGAAAAUAUAGUAUUUAAAUAUACACUCACAUUUUAGCCCUGAGUUCCAUGUAAUACAUGAGAUAAAUGACAUUUAUAAUUAUAUAAUUUGUGACAGUGCCACUAUAGUGCACCAUAUUUAUCUAAAAUCAGCUUGCAAAACUUCCAGGUCUCUUGUCUGCUGCCUUUGCAAACCCUCCCCUUCUAACCCGCCCAGACUUUCUGUGGUUGUCCAAUCACAGACUUCCCAAAGCAGCUCAAUGAUAGGUUUCUGCAAGGCAGGUGCUCUCGGCAAUUGCAUGGCUCAAGUUUCGCUCCACUGAGCUAAGCAACCAGGAAGUAACAGGACCUGUUGUCUGAAUAACAGUCAGGUGGGUGUAAUUACAUUUAUUAAAAUUUUUAUUGAAACACGCAUUUUUUGUAAAAUUAAACACUCUUCACACAUAAAGUGUUUCAGCGAGUUAAAGUGCUUUAGGGGUCUGAUUGAACAUUAUGGGAAUUGCUAUCACCUCUUCUUAGCCCUCUUGGGUGUGUCUCCCUCUUAGCGCCCCUCAAUAUCUCUGUUCUAUUCCCAGUGUGUCAUACUUUCUCGCUAUUGUGUCUCUACUCUCUAACCCGUUGUGGCUCUCCUUAGGCCCUCUUUUGUCUCUACUCAAUCUCCAUUUGGUUUAUAUCAUCUCUUUACUGUUUAUUUCUCUCCACCUCCCCCAGUUGGUCUCUCCUACCUUAGUUUGUCUCUCUCUGUCUCUAGUUUACCCCUCCCCAAUUCUAUCUAUUCCAUCUCUCCCUUUUUCCAGUCUGUAUCAUCCUUGCACCAGUCUGUCUCAUCAUCUCCCAUAUUCUCUUUUUCCCCUCCAUUGUGUCUACCCCCAUUCUGACUCGUUUUCUUCUCCUGUCUGCCUCUUCCUCUCCCCUAAUCUCUCUGUCCUGCUCUCUCAGUCUGUCUGUAUCCUUCACCUGUCUGUUAGUACACUGGAAAACUAACACAUUAAAUGGAUAUGUAGCUAAUGUUUUAUUACAUGUUUAGAUUAACAAUAAAAAUCUGUAUUGGUCUGAUGGUAGAAAAUAACUUUUCCGAAGCAAUAAUAGUUAAUAAUAAGUUUAUAUAAAACACAAUUUUAGAAAGGAAAAGCUGAUAAAAAUGCUCAAAUCACCAAGUGUGAGUCACUCCAAAUCACACAAAGAACCAUACAAUACAAUAAUAAUAUAGUGAGAGCAAACUCU
Pelobates cultripes (western spadefoot toad) is the source of this 2419-nucleotide non-coding RNA. Lineage: Eukaryota; Metazoa; Chordata; Amphibia; Anura; Pelobatidae. The record is from the annotation of a GenBank genome assembly.